This 1012-nucleotide long non-coding RNA is filed under the name Felis catus (domestic cat). Its description in RNAcentral is "lncRNA (ENSFCAG00000047235.1)". Lineage: Eukaryota; Metazoa; Chordata; Mammalia; Carnivora; Felidae. The record is from RNAcentral.
AUGUACUAUUGGUAUACUUGCGUACCAAAACUAAGCCACACAGUGCAUUACACUAACUGGAUCCCUGCUUCGCGGAGCAAAGGAAAGACGGAGCCCACUCCCGACGAGAGCCUCGCUUCCUCUCUCGUCCAGCCUGUGUCCGAGCCUAGUGACCCAGGAGUCCAGCUUUCAGUACCCAGUGAAACUUUGCUUCGAGUGGACUCAAGUGUGACCAGGCUCGACACCUGGAUGCAGGCCUCUGCUCGGCCCCCGGACUGUGGCAGUGACGAGGUGAGCCUGCCGCCUUGGCGCCUCUGGCCCGCGGAGCGUGGACGCAGCUCUGCCCUCGGCCCCUCGGAGUGGUAGGAAGAACACUGGCCGCCUCUGCACUCUCGUUUCUCAGCCAGAACGUAGGACUUGGUUAGAGAACCGCCGUACCAGCCCCACUUCCAAAUCCAGUGUUGCCUCGCCGCAUUUAGGGUUGCCUGACCCGCGGAUGGGGCCCUCCACGGUGUGACUCGGCCGGGGUGGAAGGGGCUCCCGGGACACUCGUGCGAGUUCCUCGCCUGGCCGCCCUCGGGCCGGUGUGGGACACACGCCGUCUCAGUGGCUGAGACCCGAGGGCGGCACCCGGGAGGGGCGGACAGAGGCUCAGAAGCCUCGGUGUGUGAUUUGCGGAGGUGACUCCUACCCCGCACCCCGGGCUGUCCUGCCAGGAGGUGGAGGAAGGGAGACCAGGGGAGUGCAGGCGCAGGGGGAGCGGAGGGCAGGGCCGGGCUGAGGAAGGGAGGGAGGUGGCCCACCGCCCGCACGGCUGGCCGUCUGCCGGGACGGCUGCCCGCCCGGCUGCUUGCGUUGGGCCUCCAUCGCCUGGGAGGAGUGGUGAGCACCGAGGGCAGGAGGCGGAGGGAGUUAGCGCCGUGCGAGACCUUGCCAGAGGCCACCCGGACCACCGUGCGCGUGCAGGCGUCUGGAAGCGGGGAGACAGGUCAUGGGUCCCCGCAUGAAGGGGGCUUGACGUGGGCCCAGCUCG